GACGAACGCUGGCGGCGUGCUUAACACAUGCAAGUCGAACGGGAUCCAAGGGGUGCUUGCACUUUUUGGUGAGAGUGGCGCACGGGUGAGUAACACGUGAGUAACCUGUCCUUUUCUUUGGGAUAAGCAUUCGAAAGGGUGUUUAAUACCUUAUGUUCUGUCUGCCUCGCAUGGGGUGGGUGGGAAAGGCUUUGGCCGGAUUUGGGUGGGCUCGCGGUCUAUCAGCUUGUUGGUGGGGUGAUGGCUUACCAAGGCUUUGACGGGUAGCCGGCCUGAGAGGGUGGUCGGUCACAUUGGGACUGAGAUACGGCCCAGACUCCUGCGGGAGGCAGCAGUGGGGGAUAUUGCACAAUGGGCGAAAGCCUGAUGCAGCGACGCCGCGUGGGGGAUGAAGGCCUUCGGGUUGUAAACUUCUUUUGCUCUGAACAAGGCAUGCCAGUGGGUGUGUUGAGUGUAGGGGUUGAUUAGCGCCGGCUAACUACGUG
RNAcentral lists this ribosomal RNA (485 nucleotides) under uncultured bacterium. RNAcentral's name for it is "partial 16S ribosomal RNA". It matches the Rfam family "Bacterial small subunit ribosomal RNA", at positions 28 to 507 of the family's 1533-position model. The record is from RNAcentral.